Molecule: ribosomal RNA, 1441 nt
Filed under: uncultured organism
Description: partial small subunit ribosomal RNA
Rfam family: Bacterial small subunit ribosomal RNA
Source: RNAcentral
ACGCUGGCGGCGUGCUUAACACAUGCAAGUCGAACGGAAAGGCCCUGCUUUUGUGGGGUGCUCGAGUGGCGAACGGGUGAGUAACACGUGAGUAACCUGCCCUUGACUUUGGGAUAACUUCAGGAAACUGGGGCUAAUACCGGAUAGGAGCUCCUGCUGCAUGGUGGGGGUUGGAAAGUUUCGGCGGUUGGGGAUGGACUCGCGGCUUAUCAGCUUGUUGGUGGGGUAGUGGCUUACCAAGGCUUUGACGGGUAGCCGGCCUGAGAGGGUGACCGGCCACAUUGGGACUGAGAUACGGCCCAGACUCCUACGGGAGGCAGCAGUGGGGAAUAUUGCACAAUGGGCGGAAGCCUGAUGCAGCAACGCCGCGUGCGGGAUGACGGCCUUCGGGUUGUAAACCGCUUUCGCCUGUGACGAAGCGUGAGUGACGGUAAUGGGUAAAGAAGCACCGGCUAACUACGUGCCAGCAGCCGCGGUGAUACGUAGGGUGCGAGCGUUGUCCGGAUUUAUUGGGCGUAAAGGGCUCGUAGGUGGUUGAUCGCGUCGGAAGUGUAAUCUUGGGGCUUAACCCUGAGCGUGCUUUCGAUACGGGUUGACUUGAGGAAGGUAGGGGAGAAUGGAAUUCCUGGUGGAGCGGUGGAAUGCGCAGAUAUCAGGAGGAACACCAGUGGCGAAGGCGGUUCUCUGGGCCUUUCCUGACGCUGAGGAGCGAAAGCGUGGGGAGCGAACAGGCUUAGAUACCCUGGUAGUUCCACGCUGUAAACGGUGGGUACUAGGUGUGGGGUCCAUUCCACGGGUUCCGUGCCGUAGCUAACGCUUUAAGUACCCCGCCUGGGGAGUACGGCCGCAAGGCUAAAACUCAAAGGAAUUGACGGGGCCCCGCACAAGCGGCGGAGCAUGCGGAUUAAUUCGAUGCAACGCGUAGAACCUUACCUGGGUUUGACAUGGAUCGGGAGUGCUCAGAGAUGGGUGUGCCUCUUUUGGGGUCGGUUCACAGGUGGUGCAUGGCUGUCGUCAGCUCGUGUCGUGAGAUGUUGGGUUAAGUCCCGCAACGAGCGCAACCCUUGUUCACUGUUGCCAGCACGUUAUGGUGGGGACUCAGUGGAGACCGCCGGGGUCAACUCGGAGGAAGGUGGGGAUGACGUCAAGUCAUCAUGCCCCUUAUGUCCAGGGCUUCACGCAUGCUACAAUGGCUGGUACAGAGAGUGGCGAGCCUGUGAGGGUGAGCGAAUCUCGGAAAGCCGGUCUCAGUUCGGAUUGGGGUCUGCAACUCGACCUCAUGAAGUCGGAGUCGCUAGUAAUCGCAGAUCAGCAACGCUGCGGUGAAUACGUUCCCGGGGCUUGUACACACCGCCCGUCAAGUCAUGAAAGUUGGUAACACCCGAAGCCGGUGGCCUAACCGUUGUGGGGGAGCCGUCGAAGGUGGGACUGGUGAUUAGGA